CCUACGGGUGGCUGCAGUGGGGAAUAUUGGACAAUGGGCGAAAGCCUGAUCCAGCCAUGCCGCGUGUGUGAAGAAGGCCUUCGGGUUGUAAAGCACUUUCAGUGGGGAAGAAAGCCUUGGGGCUAAUACCCUCGAGGAAGGACAUCACCCACAGAAGAAGCACCGGCUAACUCCGUGCCAGCAGCCGCGGUAAUACGGAGGGUGCGAGCGUUAAUCGGAAUUACUGGGCGUAAAGCGCGCGUAGGCGGUCUGAUAAGCCGGUUGUGAAAGCCCCGGGCUCAACCUGGGAACGGCAUCCGGAACUGUCAGGCUAGAGUGCAGGAGAGGAAGGUAGAAUUCCCGGUGUAGCGGUGAAAUGCGGAGAGAUCGGGAGGAAUACCAGUGGCGAAGGCGGCCUUCUGGACUGACACUGACGCUGAGGUGCGAAAGCGUGGGUAGCAAACAGGAUUAGAUACCCGUGUAGUC
Molecule: ribosomal RNA, 465 nt
Filed under: Vreelandella stevensii
Lineage: Bacteria; Pseudomonadati; Pseudomonadota; Gammaproteobacteria; Oceanospirillales; Halomonadaceae
Description: partial 16S ribosomal RNA
Rfam family: Bacterial small subunit ribosomal RNA
Source: RNAcentral